Molecule: unclassified non-coding RNA, 369 nt
Filed under: soil metagenome
Description: partial contains 5.8S ribosomal RNA, internal transcribed spacer 2, and large subunit ribosomal RNA
Rfam family: 5.8S ribosomal RNA (bases 1-120)
Source: RNAcentral
GAUGAAGAACGUAGCGAAAUGCGAUAAGUAAUGUGAAUUGCAGAAUUCAGUGAACCAUCGAAUCUUUGAACGCACAUUGCGCCCGGCAGUAAUCUGCCGGGCAUGCCUGUCCGAGCGUCAUUUCUACCCUCGAGCGAGUCCAGCAUCUAGGUGCUGGGCCUCGCCCGGCGUUGGAGCACUACGGGAAGCCCUGUGCUGUCCCCCGUAGGCCCCGAAAUGAAGUGGCGGUCCUGCCGCGGCGCCCCCUGCGUAGUAUUACAGCUCGCAUCGGGUCCCGGUGGAGGCCAGCCGUCAAACCUUACUUUCUAAGUUUGACCUCGGAUCAGGUAGGGUUACCCGCUGAACUUAAGCAUAUCAAUAAGCGGAGGA